This 86-nucleotide transfer RNA is filed under the name Patescibacteria group bacterium. Its description in RNAcentral is "tRNA-Tyr". It matches the Rfam family "tRNA". From Rfam's summary of the family: Transfer RNA (tRNA) molecules are approximately 80 nucleotides in length. Their secondary structure includes four short double-helical elements and three loops (D, anti-codon, and T loops). The record is from RNAcentral.
GCCGAGGUACCAAAGUGGCCAACUGGAGCUGACUGUAAAUCAGCUGGCUUAUGCCUUCGGGGGUUCGAAUCCCUCCCUCGGCACCA